This is a non-coding RNA of Podarcis lilfordi (Lilford's wall lizard), 67 nucleotides long. NCBI's taxonomy places the organism in Eukaryota, Metazoa, Chordata, Lepidosauria, Squamata, Lacertidae. The record is from the annotation of a GenBank genome assembly.
GUGAUAGCUCAGUCGGUGGAGCAUGAAAAUCUCAGGGUUGUGGGUUCAAGCCCCAUGUUGGGCAACA